RNAcentral lists this ribosomal RNA (503 nucleotides) under uncultured bacterium. RNAcentral's name for it is "partial 16S ribosomal RNA". It matches the Rfam family "Bacterial small subunit ribosomal RNA", at positions 30 to 523 of the family's 1533-position model. The record is from RNAcentral.
AUUGAACGCUGGCGGCAGGCUUAACACAUGCAAGUCGAGCGGGGUGAUGGUGCUUGCACUAUCACUUAGCGGCGGACGAGUGAGUAAUGCUUAGGAAUCUGCCUAUUAGUGGGGGACAACAUCUCGAAAGGGAUGCUAAUACCGCAUACGUCCUACGGGAGAAAGCAGGGGAUCACUUGUGACCUUGCGCUAAUAGAUGAGCCUAAGUCGGAUUAGCUAGUUGGUGGGGUAAAGGCCUACCAAGGCUACGAUCUGUAGCGGGUCUGAGAGGAUGAUCCGCCACACUGGGACUGAGACACGGCCCAGACUCCUACGGGAGGCAGCAGUGGGGAAUAUUGGACAAUGGGGGGAACCCUGAUCCAGCCAUGCCGCGUGUGUGAAGAAGGCCUUAUGGUUGUAAAGCACUUUAAGCGAGGAGGAGGCUCUUUUGGUUAAUACCCAGAAUGAGUGGACGUUACUCGCAGAAUAAGCACCGGCUAACUCUGUGCCAGCCGCCGCAGUAA